RNAcentral lists this transfer RNA (85 nucleotides) under Felis catus (domestic cat). It matches the Rfam family "tRNA". Rfam says of the family: Transfer RNA (tRNA) molecules are approximately 80 nucleotides in length. Their secondary structure includes four short double-helical elements and three loops (D, anti-codon, and T loops). The record is from Rfam by way of RNAcentral. Lineage: Eukaryota; Metazoa; Chordata; Mammalia; Carnivora; Felidae.
GCCUGGGUGGCUCAGUCGGUUGAGCUUCUGACUUCGGCUCAGGUCAUGAUCUCACGGUCUGUGAGUUCGAGCCCCACAUUGGGCU